Molecule: long non-coding RNA, 614 nt
Organism: Rhinopithecus roxellana (golden snub-nosed monkey)
Lineage: Eukaryota; Metazoa; Chordata; Mammalia; Primates; Cercopithecidae
Exons: 3
Source: RefSeq, a predicted model, not a curated record
CGUCCGAUCCAUAACUGAGCAAUUUUAAAAAGACUAUCAUAGACAGGAAGAAUUUUCAUACCUGGGAGAUGAUAGUGGUGACAGAGAGUUCACCUCCCUCAAAUUCUGAUCUUCAGUACGCCUCACUCAACUCUCUUCUCAAUCUCAGGUCUCCACUAACAGCUCUGCCGAAAGGUCUCCAGGAGCCUUCAGACAUAAUUAAAGAAGUUCUGGGGAUAGAAGCCCCAUCUUUACUACCACAAGGAAGGUUCCUACUAAAGACCUCUCCUAAGCCUUCUCCACUGGCUCAACCCUGAACACUCAACAAUGAACAUUCCACAAUGAAAUACAACAACACCUACCAACAAACCACAACGUAUCAAAGUACAGUGGAUUAGAAACUUCGAAACAAAACAAAAAACCAAAAUCCUGGUCUUCGCCAAACACGUUGGGGAGCACUGCACAAAAACAUAUGGCAUCAGUCACUGCCUCGAACAGCUCAGAGGAGACAGGCUGUGCACGCAGAACCGUGCCAAAGGGGACUGGCAGGGGUGCUCCUGCCCUAUAUAGAACCUAAAAUGAAAGUAUGGGGCAUUUGAGUUUACUAUACAAGGCACCAAAGAUAUUUACAGAUG